Molecule: long non-coding RNA, 1154 nt
Filed under: Apteryx rowi (Okarito brown kiwi)
Lineage: Eukaryota; Metazoa; Chordata; Aves; Apterygiformes; Apterygidae
Description: lncRNA (ENSARWG00000009080.1)
Source: RNAcentral
UGCUGUCACCUACCCAAAGAACAUCCCGGGGUCCUCAUCCCAUAGUCGAGAGCACCCAGGGGUGUUAUCCUACGCCUGGAGGCACCCAGGGGUGCCAACACCAUUCCUAGGGAGCACCCAGGGGUGCUGUCACCUACCCAAGGAGCACCCAGGGGUGCUAGUCUUGUAGGUAAGAGCACUUAGAGGAGCUAUAAUACAUCUGGGAAGCACCCAGGGGUGCUUGUGCCAUGCCCAGGAGCACCCAGGGGUGCUAUAACCCACCUGAGGAGCACCCAGGGGUGCUGUAACCUACUCGAAAAACAUCCUGGGGUCCUCAUCCCAUAGCCAGGAGCACCCAGGGGUGCUAUAACCCACCCAAGGAGCACCCAGGGGUGCUGUGCUACACCCAGGGGGCACCCAGGGGUGCCAAUNAGGGGCACCCAGGGGUGCUAUAACCUACCCAAAGAACCUUCCUAAGUCCUCAUCCCGCAUCCAGGAGCACCCAGGGGUGCUGCAGUCUACCCGAGGAGCACCCAGGGGUGCUAGUCUCACAGCCAGGAGCACCCAGGGGUGCUAAAACCCACCUGAGGAGCACCCAGGGGUGCUGUAACCUACUCAAGGAGCACCCAGAGGUGCUAUUCCAUGCCUGGGAGCACCCAGGGGUGCUGUAACCCACCUGAGGAGCACCCAGGGGUGCUGUAACCUGCCUGAAAAACAUCCCAGGGUCCUCAUCCCAUAGUCAGGAGCACCCAGGGGUGCUAUUCCCAUGCCCAGGAGCACCCAGGGGUGCUGUGCUACACCGAGGGGGCACCCAGGGGUGCCAGUCGCAUACUCAGGAGCACCCAGGGGUGCUAUAACCUACCCAAGGAGCACCCAGGGGUGCUAUAACACAUCUAGGGAGCACCCAGGGGUGCUCAUCCCAUGCCCAGGAGCACCCAGGCGUGCUGCAGUCUACCCGAGGAGCACCCAGGGGUGCUAGUCUCACAGCCAGGAGCACCUAAGGGUGCUGUAACACGUUUAGGGAGCACCCAGGGGUGCUCUAACCUACCCAAGGAGCACCCAGGGGUGCUAUUCCAUGCCCAGGAGCACCCAGGGGUGCUGUAACCUACCUGAAAAGCAUCCCCAGGUCCUCAUCCCAUAGCCAGGAGCACCCAGGGGUGCUAGUCUCACAGCCA